ACUCAAAUGAAUAGACGGGGGCCCGCACAAGCGGUGGAGCAUGUGGUUCAAUUCGACGCAACGCGAAGAACCUUACCUAGGCUCGAACGGCUGGUCAACGACGGUGGAAACAUCGUUACCCCGCAAGGGGGUCCAGUCGAGGUGCUGCAUGGCUGUCGUCAGCUCGUGUCGUGAGAUGUUGGGUUAAGUCCCGCAACGAGCGCAACCCUUGUCCUGUGUUGCCAUACCGAAAGGUGGAACUCGCAGGAGACCGCCAGCGAUAAGCUGGAGGAAGGUGGGGAUGACGUCAAGUCCUCAUGGCCUUUAUGUCUAGGGCUACACACGUGCUACAAUGGACGGUACAAAGCGUCGCUAACCCGCGAGGGGGAGCCAAUCGCAAAAAACCGUUCUCAGUUCGGAUUGCAGGCUGCAACCCGCCUGCAUGAAGCUGGAAUCGCUAGUAAUGGCAGAUCAGCACGCUGCCGUGAAUACGUUCCCGGGCCUUGUACACACCGCCCGU
Molecule: ribosomal RNA, 499 nt
Filed under: uncultured bacterium
Lineage: Bacteria
Description: partial 16S ribosomal RNA
Rfam family: Bacterial small subunit ribosomal RNA
Source: RNAcentral